GGUUGAUCCUGCCAGUAGCAUACGCUUGUCUCAAAGAUUAAGCCAUGCAUGUCUAAGUAUAAAUAAAUCUAUACUGUGAAACUGCGAAUGGCUCAUUAUAUCAGUUAUAGUUUAUUUGAUAGUCCCUUACUACUUGGAUAACCGUAGUAACUCUAGAGCUAAUACAUGCGCAAAUUCCCGACUGCCGCAAGGCGGAAAGGAUGUAUUUAUUAGAUCCAACCAGCCCGGUUCGCCGGAGUCCCUGGUGAGUCAUAAUAACUGAGCGAAUCGCAUGCCCUUGUGGCGGCGAUGG
RNAcentral lists this ribosomal RNA (292 nucleotides) under uncultured eukaryote. Its description in RNAcentral is "partial 18S ribosomal RNA". It matches the Rfam family "Eukaryotic small subunit ribosomal RNA", at positions 6 to 293 of the family's 1831-position model. The record is from RNAcentral.